This 530-nucleotide ribosomal RNA is filed under the name Mycolicibacterium phocaicum. RNAcentral's name for it is "bacterial SSU rRNA". It matches the Rfam family "Bacterial small subunit ribosomal RNA", at positions 44 to 591 of the family's 1533-position model. The record is from RNAcentral. Lineage: Bacteria; Bacillati; Actinomycetota; Actinomycetes; Mycobacteriales; Mycobacteriaceae.
GUGCUUAACACAUGCAAGUCGAAGCGAAAGGCCCUUCGGGGUACUCGAGUGGCGAACGGGUGAGUAACACGUGGGUGAUCUGCCCUGCACUUUGGGAUAAGCCUGGGAAACUGGGUCUAAUACCGAAUAGGACCACGCGCUUCAUGGUGUGUGGUGGAAAGCUUUUGCGGUGUGGGAUGGGCCCGCGGCCUAUCAGCUUGUUGGUGGGGUAAUGGCCUACCAAGGCGACGACGGGUAGCCGGCCUGAGAGGGUGACCGGCCACACUGGGACUGAGAUACGGCCCAGACUCCUACGGGAGGCAGCAGUGGGGAAUAUUGCACAAUGGGCGCAAGCCUGAUGCAGCGACGCCGCGUGAGGGAUGACGGCCUUCGGGUUGUAAACCUCUUUCAAUAGGGACGAAGCGCAAGUGACGGUACCUAUAGAAGAAGCACCGGCCAACUACGUGCCAGCAGCCGCGGUAAUACGUAGGGUGCGAGCGUUGUCCGGAAUUACUGGGCGUAAAGAGCUCGUAGGUGGUUUGUCGCGUUGC